GGCCCAGACUCCUACGGGAGGCAGCAGUGGGGAAUAUUGCACAAUGGGGGGAACCCUGAUGCAGCGACGCCGCGUGAGUGAAGAAGUAUUUCGGUCUGUAAAGCUCUAUCAGCAGGGAAGAAAAUGACGGUACCUGACUAAGAAGCCCCGGCUAACUACGUGCCAGCAGCCGCGGUAAUACGUAGGUGGCAAGCGUUAUCCGGAUUUACUGGGUGUAAAGGGCGUGUAGGCGGGACUGCAAGUCAGAUGUGAAAACCACGGGCUCAACCUGUGGCCUGCAUUUGAAACUGUAGUUCUUGAGUACUGGAGAGGCAGACGGAAUUCCUAGUGUAGCGGUGAAAUGCGUAGAUAUUAGGAGGAACACCAGUGGCGAAGGCGGCCUGCUGGACGAUGACUGACGUUGAGGCUCGAAAGCGUGGGGAGCAAACAGGAUUAGAUACCCCGGUAUU
RNAcentral lists this ribosomal RNA (449 nucleotides) under uncultured bacterium. Its description in RNAcentral is "bacterial SSU rRNA". It matches the Rfam family "Bacterial small subunit ribosomal RNA", at positions 328 to 794 of the family's 1533-position model. The record is from RNAcentral.